AUAAAGUUUUAUUCUUGCUUAUAAUUUUGUUUAUAUUUUAAUUUACAUGUAAGUUUUUGCGUGAAAUUACUAAAUAUUAAAAAUAUUUAAUAUAAAUUUAAUCGCAGUAAUUAAUAUUAUAAAUUUAAAGAAAUUUAGAUAUAGUAAAAUUAUUAAAUAUUGGUAAAAUUUGUGCCAGCAACCGCGGUUAUACAAAAAAUAUGAAUAAAUUUUAUUAGUAAAAGUUAAAUUGUUCUUAUAUUUAAAUAAAUUAAUUUUUUUAAGUGAAAUUUUAAAAUUAAUUAAUUAAUCUAAAAUAAUAUUGAAACUAAAAAAUUUUUAUAAAAAACUAGGAUUAGAUACCCUAUUAUUAAAAAAAUAAAUUUAAAUACUGGAGUAUUAAUAGUUAUAGUCUUUAAACUUAAAGAAUUUGGCGGUAUUUUAAUCUAUUCAGAGGAACCUGUUCUAUAAUCGAUAUUCCACGUUGGACUUUACUUAAAUUUGUUUUCAAUUUGUAUACCGCCGUUAAUGAUUAUCUUAAUAGAGUAAUAAUUUUCUUAUUUUUAUAUAAAAAUAUAUCAGGUCAAGGUGCAGUUUAUAUUUAAGGAAGAAAUGGGUUACAAUAAAAUUAUUUAUAUGAAAUAAAAAUUGAAAUAUUUUUAGGAAAGUGGAUUUGAUAGUAAAAUUAUGUAUAUAAUUAAUUUGAUUUUAGCUCUAAAAUAUGUACACAUCGCCCGUCGCUCUUAUUUCUGUAUUUAUACUAUAAAAUAAGAUAAGUCGUAACAUAGUAGAAUUACUGGAAAGUGAUUCUAGAAUGAC
RNAcentral lists this non-coding RNA (798 nucleotides) under Allognosta vagans. Lineage: Eukaryota; Metazoa; Arthropoda; Insecta; Diptera; Stratiomyidae. The record is from RNAcentral.